This 412-nucleotide unclassified non-coding RNA is filed under the name fungal sp. RNAcentral's name for it is "partial internal transcribed spacer region". The stretch from base 1 to 46 matches the Rfam family "Eukaryotic small subunit ribosomal RNA", at positions 1786 to 1831 of the family's 1831-position model. Lineage: Eukaryota; Fungi. The record is from RNAcentral.
AAGUCGUAACAAGGUUUCCGUAGGUGAACCUGCGGAAGGAUCAUUACCACGUUCCAAACGUAUUAACCAAAUGAGAAUCGUUUUCAAACACUCCCAACAUAGGAAAUGAGCUGGUAACUAGCAAACGUGUGUGUGCGGAGUCUUUUAUUAGACUUAGCGUAUGCUAAAAUAUUUAUUGCGUAAAAAACAAUAGACAGCUGAAUUUUUAUGUGUGGCAUAAUUUCCAUCUACUUUGAUUACCGACACCAAUCGUGAGUAGUGUGGAUAACAUUUUUAAUCAAUAACUAUAUUUACCCAAUUUUUGCUAGUUGACUUUUCUAUGUUAUUCUUUUUGUUAAUUCAAACUGAAUACACGUUUUAAUUAUUUAAACGUUUAAAAAUACAACUCUUAGCAAUGGAUAUCUUGGUUCUC